UCAUUUUUACAUCAUAAUUCAUUAAUGUUGCUGAAACAACAACAACAUCAUCGUGGGGAGUUUGAAUUCCUCGAGCAUCUUCCUCCGAGAAGAUUAUUACAUCAUGGAGUUUUGGUCACUUCAUUGACUCCUCGUCGGAAGUUGCCCCCCGAUCCAACCGUCUGGUGAUCAUGUUGAUGACUCCCGCGGUCGGUUGGUUAUUCACAGCUUCCUCAGUUGUUUGG
Molecule: long non-coding RNA, 224 nt
Filed under: Elaeis guineensis (African oil palm)
Lineage: Eukaryota; Viridiplantae; Streptophyta; Magnoliopsida; Arecales; Arecaceae
Description: long non-coding RNA (EGUI_LNC043116)
Source: RNAcentral